GAUGAACGCUGGCGGCGUGCCUAAUACAUGCAAGUCGAGCGAACAGACGAGGAGCUUGCUCCUUUGACGUUAGCGGCGGACGGGUGAGUAACACGUGGGUAACCUACCUAUAAGACUGGGAUAACUUCGGGAAACCGGAGCUAAUACCGGAUAAUAUUUCGAACCGCAUGGUUCGAUAGUGAAAGAUGGCUUUGCUAUCCCUUAUAGAUGGACCUUCGCCGUAUUAGCUAGUUGGUAAGGUAACGGCUUACCAAGGCAACGAUACGUAGCCGACCUGAGAGGGUGAUCGGCCACACUGGAACUGAGACACGGUCCAGACUCCUACGGGAGGCAGCAGUAGGGAAUCUUCCGCAAUGGGCGAAAGCCUGACGGAGCAACGCCGCGUGAGUGAUGAAGGUCUUCGGAUCGUAAAACUCUGUUAUUAGGGAAGAACAAACGUGUAAGUAACUGUGCACGUCUUGACGGUACCUAAUCAGAAAGCCACGGCUAACUACGUG
This 497-nucleotide ribosomal RNA is filed under the name uncultured bacterium. RNAcentral's name for it is "partial 16S ribosomal RNA". It matches the Rfam family "Bacterial small subunit ribosomal RNA", at positions 28 to 507 of the family's 1533-position model. The record is from RNAcentral.